Molecule: ribosomal RNA, 466 nt
Filed under: uncultured bacterium
Lineage: Bacteria
Description: bacterial SSU rRNA
Rfam family: Bacterial small subunit ribosomal RNA
Source: RNAcentral
CGCCAGACUCCUACGGGAGGCAGCAGUGAGGAAUAUUGGUCAAUGGGCUUACGCCUGAACCAGCCAAGUCGCGUGAGGGAAGACUGCCCUAUGGGUUGUAAACCUCUUUUGUCAGGGAGCAAUUGGCGCUACGUGUAGCGUUAUCGAGAGUACCUGAAGAAAAAGCAUCGGCUAACUCCGUGCCAGCAGCCGCGGUAAUACGGAGGAUGCGAGCGUUAUCCGGAUUUAUUGGGUUUAAAGGGUGCGUAGGCGGAAUGCCAAGUCAGCGGUAAAAUCGCGGGGCUCAACCUCUUCGAGCCGUUGAAACUGGUUUUCUUGAGUGAGCGAGAAGUAUGCGGAAUGCGUGGUGUAGCGGUGAAAUGCAUAGAUAUCACGAAGAACCCCGAUUGCGAAGGCAGCUUACUAAACUGUGACUGACAUUGAUGCUCGAAAGUGUGGGUAUCAAACAGGAUUAGAUACCCCAGUA